Molecule: long non-coding RNA, 298 nt
Filed under: Gallus gallus (chicken)
Lineage: Eukaryota; Metazoa; Chordata; Aves; Galliformes; Phasianidae
Source: RNAcentral
UUCCUUCCCUUUUUGGGGGGGGGUCACUUCUUUUUGGCCCCCCCCCCCACCUCUUCGGCCGCCCCCCCUCGGCGGCUGCCUGGGCUGCCCGGCGGCGCUCCUGAGAGGCGGCCACGUCUUCGGGGGUCACCCGUGGCUGCACUCGGAUGCCGAGGCUGCGGGCGGUGCCCAACACGGAGCCCACGAAGGCUCUGACGGAGCCCCCCCCCCCUCCGGCGCAGCUCUUCGUCCCCCCCCCACCGCGCCGCCGCCACCUCGUAGAUGUGCUUCAGGGACAGCAGCCCCCCCUCCUCGUGCC